UGCAAGUCGAGCGCCCCGCAAGGGGAGCGGCAGACGGGUGAGUAACGCGUGGGAAUCUACCCUUCUCUACGGAACAACUCCGGGAAACUGGAGCUAAUACCGUAUACGCCCUUCGGGGGAAGGAUUUAUCGGAGAUGGAUGAGCCCGCGUUGGAUUAGCUAGUUGGUGAGGUAAAGGCUUACCAAGGCGACGAUCUGUAGCGGGUCUGAGAGGAUGAUCCGCCACACUGGAACUGAGACACGGUCCAGACUCCUACGGGAGGCAGCAGUGGGGAAUUCUGGACAAUGGGGGCAACCCUGAUCCAGCCAUGCCGCGUGAGUGAAGAAGGCCUUCGGGUUGUAAAGCUCUUUCGGCCGGGAAGAAAUCGCAUGGGCCAAUACCCUGUGUGGAUGACGGUACCGGAAUAAGAAGCACCGGCUAACUACGUGCCAGCAGCCGCGGUAAUACGUAGGGUGCGAGCGUUAAUCGGAAUUACUGGGCGUAAAGCGUGCGCAGGCGGUUUUGUAAGACAGGCGUGAAAUCCCCGGGCUUAACCUGGGAACUGCGUUUGUGACUGCAAGGCUAGAGUACGGCAGAGGGGGGUGGAAUUCCACGUGUAGCAGUGAAAUGCGUAGAGAUGUGGAGGAACACCAAUGGCGAAGGCAGCCCCCUGGGUCGAUACUGACGCUCAUGCACGAAAGCGUGGGUAGCAAACAGGAUUAGAUACCCUGGUAGUCCACGCCCUAAACUAUGUCAACUAGGUGUUGGGUGGGUAAAACCAUUUAGUACCGUAGCUAACGCGUGAAGUUGACCGCCUGGGGAGUACGGCCGCAAGGUUAAAACUCAAAGGAAUUGACGGGGACCCGCACAAGCGGUGGAUGAUGUGGAUUAAUUCGAUGCAACGCGAAAAACCUUACCUACCCUUGACAUGCCAGGAACUUGCCAGAGAUGGCUUGGUGCCCGAAAGGGAGCCUGGACACAGGUGCUGCAUGGCUGUCGUCAGCUCGUGUCGUGAGAUGUUGGGUUAAGUCCCGCAACGAGCGCAACCCUUGUCGUUAAUUGCCAUCAUUUAGUUGGGCACUUUAGCGAGACUGCCGGUGACAAACCGGAGGAAGGUGGGGAUGACGUCAAGUCCUCAUGGCCCUUAUGGGUAGGGCUUCACACGUCAUACAAUGGUCGGUACAAAGGGUUGCCAAGCCGCGAGGCGGAGCCAAUCCCAGAAAGCCGAUCGUAGUCCGGAUUGCAGGCUGCAACUCGCCUGCAUGAAGUCGGAAUCGCUAGUAAUCGUGGAUCAGCAUGUCACGGUGAAUACGUUCCCGGGUCUUGUACACACCGCCCGUCACACCAUGGGAGCGGGUUCCGCCAGAAGUAGGUAGCCUAACCGCAAGGGGGGCGCUUACCACGGCGGGGUUCGUGACUGGGGUGAAGUCGAAACAAGGUA
Molecule: ribosomal RNA, 1420 nt
Filed under: metagenome
Description: bacterial SSU rRNA
Rfam family: Bacterial small subunit ribosomal RNA
Source: RNAcentral